CCCUUAGAUGUUCUGGGCUGCACACGUGCUACACUGGCAGGUUCAGCGAGCUUCAUGCCCUGAUCUGAAAGGAAUGGGAAAUCUUUUCAAAACCUGCCGUGCUUGGGAUAGAUGUUUGCAAUUAUUCAUCUUCAACGAGGAUUGCCUUGUAAGCGCACGUCAUCAGCGUGCAUUGAAUACGACCCUGUAUUCUGUACACACCGCCCGUCGCUCCUACCGAUUGAAGUUUUCGGUGAGUUAACAGGAGGAUUUUUUUGAAACUGGUUCGCCAGUGGAUUUUAGAUCCAAAUGCCAACGAAUCGAUGGCUUUAGAGGAAGGAGAAGUCGUAACA
Molecule: ribosomal RNA, 332 nt
Filed under: uncultured eukaryote
Lineage: Eukaryota
Description: partial 18S ribosomal RNA
Rfam family: Eukaryotic small subunit ribosomal RNA
Source: RNAcentral